UUAACAUUCUCCGAGAAAAAGGCACCCUUCAAAGUUCAGAUAUGGUAAAUGCAUUAUGCAUGUACAGGAACCUGAUGUUCUAGAUUAUCAUAUAAUAUUUUCAUGCGCCGCUAGGUACCACUUCACCACUUAUUAGUCACCUGCUCAAUUCCCGUUUAGUGUUCAUUUAGUAAAUCUUUAUAUACAAGAACCCUAAGCCUAAACCUGUUCAUGUACCCGAAAACCCUUCUCAAAACACUGCAUUAUGAAAAAGGAGAGGUUAAUAACCUCUACCACUACCACUGCCACUACAACCACCCUUGAAACUAAUAGUAUGAGUACAGAAAAUAGUUGCACAGAUCCUAUUUGCUUCUUUUGUGCCAUGAAAGAGCAAGACUUAUCUCUCAGGCGAGCAGGAAUAGCCAGUUGUUUCAAAGAAAUGCCUCUAGAAGAUAGUCAAGAACACGUUCUAGUGCUUAGUGGUCUAUGGAACAUUGCUAUGACACAGCCUGAUGAUCCAGAGUUCCCAUCCCUCGGCGUCUUCAACUGCAUGGCAAGUUUGAUUCGAAAAGGUACUAAUGAUAGAAGUUGGCUUCUAACGGAUCAAAACAUAUACAUUCCUUAUUAUGCAGCGCAUGUAAUUGGCUCUUACACCAUGAACAAAGCUGAGUUUGCAGAGAAAGCUGUUGAAUCAGGUGUCAUACCUCCAUUAAUGGAGCUUUUAAGAGGAAAGAUUAGUUGGGUAGAGCAAAGAGUUGCUGUUCGAGCACUUGGUCACCUUGCUAGCUAUGAAAGAACCUUUCCAGCAGUAGCAGAGUACGAACAAGAGCUAGUUAAGUUAACUACAGAGUUAGCUUCUACUUGCCUUGCUGCGGUAUAUGCCAAUUUUGUUGGAGUAAAGGAUGUAAAGAAAAGGUUGAAGUAUCACAGUGACUUGCUUACAAGAGGAGUUGGAGGGAUAGAUACGGAGAACACAAAAGCUGAGGAAUGGGCUAGUCAACUUCAGUGCUGGUCUCUUUAUCUUUUAAACUGUUUUGCUUGCAAAGAGAGAUCCUUAGAGCUCAUUUGUAGGCAAGAUUUUUUAAAAGAUUUGUGUGGAAUGUGGGGUGGCUUGGUGAAUCACUCAUCACCUGCAGGAAUUGGACUGAUUAGAAUAUUAUGCUACAGUAUAAAUGGAAGAAAGAGAGUUUCUGAAUGUGAAGAAGUUAUAAAAAGACUUUGUAAUCUCUCGAGAUCUUCAGAUGAUUGGCAAUACAUGGGGAUCGACUGCCUUCUACUACUUCUCAAAGAUCAAGAUACAAGGCACGAAGUCAUAGAAAUUGCCACCUUGUUUCUUGUAGAUUUGGUUGAACUAAGAAACCUGGGUGAUAGAUUAAACGUUGGUGAAACAAUCACAAAAGCACUUCUUUUAGACUAUAAACAAAGCAAGUUGAAGAAAAAGAACAAAAAAGUUGGAAAAGUUUUACAAGAAAUAUGGGACUUGAAGGUAGAAAGGCAAAGAAGAGAGAAGUUAAUGUUGUCUAAAGAAAAGGUUGAAGAGAGAAGGGUUAUGGUUGGUUUGAUUAAACAACAAGCAAACCGCUUUUUUUGGCUAGGAGAUAUAGAAGAAGCAUUGGCAAAAUACAGUGAAGCAUUAGAUAUGUGCCCAUUAAGGUUAAGAAAGGAAAGAAUGGUUAUUCAUAGUAAUAAAGCACAUUGUCACUUGCUACUAGGAGAUCCUGAUGCUGCCAUAAGUGAAUCAACUAGAGCUCUUUCCCUGUCUAGUCCAGCGAAUUCUCACAGUAAAAGCCUUUGGAGAAGAUCGCAGGCUUAUGACAUGAAAGGGUUAGCUAAAGAAAGUUUGAUGGACUGUAUAAUGUUUCUGAAUAGCUGCAUCAACACUGAAACACGAAAACGGAUGAAAAUUCCACACUGUGCAGCACGUAUGAUCAGCAAACAAAUGGAUGCAACGUGGCUUUUUGCAGGUGCUAAGUCAAAGGCAGUAAGAGGUCAAGUACAAAGAUUGGAAGGUGAUUGUGAUAAGAGUGGCAAUGAUCGCAUGAAGAAAUAUGAGGAAAUGAUGAUGAGAUUUAUGAUGGAGAAAAAGGGUUUGAUCUCUGGUGAUUAAGAGUGCAUUAUGAUGAGAAAUUGAGCAUUAUGUUAAACUUUAAUCAUGAUUUUCUCUCUCGCAUAGUGUCUAUCGACUAUAAUGGAAGAACCACUGGUGGGAAAAGAAGAGAGCAAAAGAAAGCUGGGUAGGGCAACAAGGGCAAAGACUGCUUUUGUGGCUCGAUCUAUGUAAGGCCAAGUUGGGUUUAUCGUGAUAAUGUUGAAGAGCUCAGUUCAGUUUUGUGGCAUCAGAUUAGUGUUGGGUACUUUUCGGCCUCUGUUUGUUUUCUGAGUGUAGAAGUUGGGAUUUGGACAAUGAUGUCGAUGUUACAGUUUAUAUGGAAUCAAAUGCAUAUGGAUUUUUCAGUCAAAAAGAAGAAUGCACAUGGAUUUUCGAUCAACCAAAAACUGAUUUGAAUUAUGCAUAUUUUCCAAAUCUGCAUUGGAUAGGAUUGAACUAUUUGUGAUAUAUAUGGUUCAAAAGAAAAAACUAUUUGUUAUAUUUGUUCAAGUUAACGAAUGAUAGUUUUGUGCAUUA
This is an RNA transcript of Ricinus communis (castor bean), 2605 nucleotides long. RefSeq lists it as uncharacterized. The record is from RefSeq and is a predicted model, not a curated record. Lineage: Eukaryota; Viridiplantae; Streptophyta; Magnoliopsida; Malpighiales; Euphorbiaceae. The transcript has 2 exons.